UAAAAAAUUUGGCGGUAUUUUAGUCUAUUCAGAGGAACCUGUUUUGUAAUCGAUAAUCCACGAUGGACCUUACUUAAAUUUGUUUUCAGUUUAUAUACCGUCGUUAUUAGAAUAUUUUAUAAGAAUGUAAUUUUCAAAAUUUUUUAAAAGAAAAUAUAUCAGAUCAAGGUGUAGCUUAUAUUUAAGUAUAAAUGGGUUACAAUAAAUUUAUUUAUACGAAUAUAAAUUUGAAAUAUUUAUUGAAGGUGGAUUUGAUAGUAAAGUUAUAUAGAUUAAUAAUUUGAUUUUAGCUCUAAAAUAUGCACACAUCGCCCGUCACUCUUAUUACUAAGGUAAGAUAAGUCGUAACAUAGUAGAUGUACCGGAAGGUGUACCUAGAAUGCAAUUUAAAGCUUAUUUAGUAAAGCAUUUCAUUUACAUUGAAAAGAUUUUUGUGCAAAUCAAUAUAGAUUGAUUAGAUUUUAUUUAUUAAUUUUUUUUGUUUGUAAUGUAAGUUAUUAAAAAUAAUUAUAUAAUUUUUUGUUUUAGUAUUUUAUAAAGAAAAAAUAAUUUUUAUUAUAGUGUAAUAGUAUUGUGAAAGAAAA
RNAcentral lists this ribosomal RNA (584 nucleotides) under Cyrtoneuropsis veniseta. RNAcentral describes it as "partial 12S ribosomal RNA". The stretch from base 383 to 454 matches the Rfam family "tRNA". The record is from RNAcentral. Lineage: Eukaryota; Metazoa; Arthropoda; Insecta; Diptera; Muscidae.